Molecule: transfer RNA, 73 nt
Filed under: Camelus bactrianus (Bactrian camel)
Lineage: Eukaryota; Metazoa; Chordata; Mammalia; Artiodactyla; Camelidae
Also listed under: 2 other names
Rfam family: tRNA
About the family: Transfer RNA (tRNA) molecules are approximately 80 nucleotides in length. Their secondary structure includes four short double-helical elements and three loops (D, anti-codon, and T loops). Further hydrogen bonds mediate the characteristic L-shaped molecular structure. tRNAs have two regions of fundamental functional importance: the anti-codon, which is responsible for specific mRNA codon recognition, and the 3' end, to which the tRNAs corresponding amino acid is attached (by aminoacyl-tRNA synthetases). tRNAs cope with the degeneracy of the genetic code in two manners: having more than one tRNA (with a specific anti-codon) for a particular amino acid; and 'wobble' base-pairing, i.e. permitting non-standard base-pairing at the 3rd anti-codon position.
Source: Rfam by way of RNAcentral
GAGGGUAUAGCUCAAGUGGUAGAGUGUAUGCUUUGCAUGCAUGAGGUCCUGGGUUCAAUCCCUAGUAUCUUCU